UAUAUAUAUAUUUCUUUUUAAAAAAUCUGCAUCUGGAUCCUACCAAACUUUUAGCCUAAAUGGCCGUUUUAGGGUUUAUCAGAUAAGUUGUCUCUCCCAUCUUCCCACUCGAAUCACUCCGCGCAUUGGAUUGUCACACUCAUACCUACUGCAUCCAUAGCUUACUUGGCCAAAAGACAAAAAAAACCUAUAUCCCUUUUCUUUCCCACCCCAAAACCCAAGAGAUUACAACAAUGGGAUCAAGAGCUCGCACCACAACUUACUCGAAGUUCCUCCCUCAAAUGGCUGUUCAUUCUCUCGGCACCUUCGCUCCUUCCAAUUCCAAGUCAGAUAUUCCAACUAACGGUUUCAAAGAGUUUCCUCAGGCCGAAGGUAAGACCGUAAGAAGGACAGAGAAUUCAAUCGAUUUCUGAAAGAAGGGCCAGCAUUCCCCUGCAAGGUGAUGAACCACGAGAAAUAUACGAGGUUAGACGUGCCGGAUAUCCGGAAGUGAUGGCUGAAGCUGUUGGUUGAAGACAACUCUCUGCACGCCAAGGCAGUGGAAGAGGUGAAUGAUGAUCCUCUGCCCACUGAGGAGUAAUUACUAUGGUGAAAUCGACCUCCCUCAGAGCUGCUACAAGCUCAAUAACUUUGUGUUCAACAUGAAACGGCAAAUGAUGACGAGGAACACUUGUGACAGGCGGUGAUGGUUUACGAGUCGUACUGAUGCAGUUAGUAAUGCAACUGACGUUGAGAGUAAUGCUUUUUCUGCUGAUGCGGCUGGGGAUGCAAUUGACGAUGAGGAUCCAGAAAUUCUUCAUCCUAUGGUGCUUGCCACUUUAAUCAAGGAAAAAGACUUUCCAAGCUUCGAAAGUUUAGUUGCUGUCUGUAGAUACCAAGAGCAUUUUUUUUAAAAGAAGCAUAACAUAAUAUUAUAAUAUUAUGGGUUGUACAAAAUGGAUUACACGGAUUUGCAUGUGGAUGGGGGUUCCAAGUUGAUGAGAUAUAUCUCGGUAGAAGACUUCAUGUGGUUCUUCGACAGGAUUCCUGGAAAGUACAAAAAAAGGAUUUAUAAGUACAUGUUUAAGCAGCAAAUUUAUGUUUUGGAUAGUUUUCCGGGGACUAUCUGCAAUCAUCUGUUUUUGGAAAGCACCACCUAGUGGGUGGUACAAGUUAAGCGUCUCUGGGUUUUUUUAGGAAGAUCUUGGAGGGACCAAAGAAGCUGGUUGUGGAGAAGUAUUGAGAGAUCCUAAGGGUAGGAUUUUGGAAAUUUUCCAUAUGCCAUUUCCUGAUAUGACAUCCAGAGAUGAAGUAUUCUUACUGGAGUCUCUCAUGGUAUAUAUGAAACUCUCCAAAGGAGAUAGAAAGUUAAGAGAAUAAUAUUGGAGAUUGACCAUGAAAAAAAUUUCAAGGUGCUAAGUCGAAAUGUGCAUCUACGAAUGGAAGAUAAGGAACUUAAAGAAUUUUAUCGGAAAGCUUUUAUUAUAAAGUUUGAGUUCAUUCUUUAAAUUUAGAUUCCAGUUUCCUUCCAAUAACAUUGAUAUAAAAUUUAUUGUUAUGCAGUAACAUUUAUUAUAUGUUGUCAUAUUUGACAAAUAUAAAAUAUUGUUUCAAUAUCCUCAAGGAAACAGUCUAGCUAAUAGAGUUGCGUAUAUAGCUUCGAAUCUGACCGUGGGACAGCGUUUUCCCAUAUUCAACAAAUGUUUUGAAACACAAGUUAGGUGUGAAUGUGUGAUCAAUUGGAGAUUCCACGAUAUGAGAUCAUCCUGGAAGAAGAAGAAUCAUCCGAUGAGGAUAUUUGAAGUCAGGUACUUUUACUUCGCUUUCUCCUUUUCUACAUAAAAACAUACCAUACUACAAAGGAAAGAAAUCAUUUUUUUUUUACUGUAUUUUAGUUAAAAAUGUAUAUUAAAUUCCUGGAAGGAGAAAGUAAUUAGCCUGAUCUGCUGUUCACCCAGCAUAAAUAAAUAAAUUAAUUAAUUAAAAUAAUAAAAAAAAUAAAAGGGGGCAGGUGUGGACUGGGUUGUGGAAGGGGGUUCUGUAAUUUUAUUCACCUUUAUUCUAGUAUAUUAUAAAGUACACUAGGAGCUUCAGAAAGAGAAGGAAAAAAAAAAAAAGUUCACUUAGCGGGAAUUGAUCACAAUAACAAUACCCCUGUGCUGAUGGUUCUACUCCAGUGUUCCCAGACUAUAUUUAAUUUUCACAAAUUAGGACAACUUAUUAAAGCAACUGGAUUCUCACAAAUCAGUUUUUGCGGGGGCUGCAUAUAAUCUGUGGUAUUGUACAUGUUGGCUAACCACGUGUGUAACUUUGAAUUACAUCAUUUUUUGUUAUUUAUUUGUCACUAUAUAUACUUUUAAGCAAUUUUUUGUUAUGCCACUUGCUCACAUUUUUGUCACUUUAAUAUUCUUUUUUUCAAUUUUUUUUUUUUUUUUUGUUUUUUAAUGAGAAUUUCAUAAUUGUGGUGCAACCGGGUUAGCAACUUGGCCCUGGUCCCCCAUGAAGCACUAGAUGGGAAAAAAAUCAUAAUUGUGUUACAAAUUUAGGUUUUAGGGGCAGCAUGGUAUUUGCAAUCAGUUGACCAGUUCCGCAAAUCAUAUUGUAAGUAGGAUUCUGGUCCUACAAAAUGCCACCUUAAUUAUUUGGAUUGUGUGACUUGACCAUGAUGAUCGCACUACAAACGUGUUUAAGAGUUGUGAUCCUAACAUGAUGAUGAUCACUUUCUAGUACGGAAUACUAUUUGAAAAAGUAGUGACAAGAAGUGUUGUGUUAAAGUUUGUUAAAAAGGACUUCUUUUUUUAUUGUUUGUGGUGGGGCUUGCCGAACUUAUGUUUUCUCCAUAUUUUCUCAAUGUUUUUUCUUCCCCUUUCAGAAAACUUAAAUGUGGAACGUCCCAAUGUAUUGCAAUUUGCAUAACUAGUGUUGGUAUGCAACAUCUUAUAUGACUUACUAUUAUUAGUAAGAAGAGCAUUUGAGUGAGAUUUAUAUUGAUAUCGAUAGUGAGAGUUGAUAGGAUACGUUACUGGGAGGUUGUCCUAAAUACCAUCUGUAUCUUUUGUCAAGAACGGUAGAAGUAAGGCAAAGUUUAAGAGGAUGAAGAGAAAGGUAAUAAUACAAUGGAGAAAAUGGAGGCUAAAGGGUUAUGGAGAUUUUUCUGCUAAUUAUGACAUGAUUGAAGUCGCAAUGGGAUACUAAUCUAUGUAUAAGAACAACAAAAGCACAACCUUCUUGAUUCAACAAGAUAUUAGGCGUCUUUGUAUGUCUUAAGUUAGUUCCUGUAAAGUAUCAGAGUUUUUUUCAUUUUAUUUUUUGAAGUUAAAGCAAACACUCCCCCAUAAUUCACGUGUCCCUAAUGGGAUUUGAACCCUCAAUCUUUAUAUUUUAAAAGAAGAGAUUAUAUCAUAGAAGCCCUUUGAUAAAAGAUUAAGACUUACACUUGGAUGGAAAUGUUUAUGCUAUUUAUGACACAAAUAGAAAUUAUUUGGAAAAAAAGAAAAUAAUAAUAAUGUAGAACUUGGAAAGGGUUCUUUAAGGUCACUAUGAAUAUAAAAGUUAAAAAGAAAAAGAGGAUGAAUAAGCAAAACCAAUGCACAACCUUCCUUCUAUCAACAAGACAUUAGGAGCGGAUUCGCUGAGUGGCAAACUCUACAUCGGCACCGUCCACCGCCACAACUACCAGACUCCACCGCCUGAUGCAAUGAUCGGCGAUCGUGAUUUUCUUUGAGACAAUACUUAGGUCCUCACCGGUGAAGAUGUAUACCAUCCUGACUACUAAUGUGUACCAAUAACAAAUGAACACAUAUUUUAAUUACCAAACCAGAGAUGGUAGUUAACUCACCAUCUUUAAUUUGGAAAGUGCGUUUAGUCCCCCACCAUCUUUAAUUUGGAAAUUAAGGAGGAUUUGCCCAUAUGUUAUUGGUCCAUAUAAAAAAAAAUGUUGUUUACAUUUCUAGAGAAAUAAAAUAGUUUUGUUACUUAAAAUUUCCAAUCUUUUUAUUUUUUUCUCUUUAACUAUGUUUUUCAAACAAUUUCAUAACCACAAAGGGUUUUAGGAUUUAGCCAAUGUGGUAUCUCAUAAGCUUUUAAAAAAGGAAAGUCCAGGGUCUCGAAUGGAGAAUAAGGAGUUCAUAUGUGAUUUUAUGUACCCAAAAAAAAAAAUUUAAAUAAAAAAAAAAAAUCUUAAAAUUAUCAAAUGAAUUUUCAAACUAAAGUUAUUCUAAAGAAUUGAACAACAAAGAUAGGCUACGAAUCAUCCAAAUCCCAAAUAUAGAAAAAAAGUUAGCUUUCAAAAUGGUUCGGCCCAUCUAGGAGAAGCGUGCCCAAGUCCAUGUGAAUUUCAAAAAUUGUUGCAGUUAACCCACCGAGCCAACAACAGUUAUAGAGAGAGAGAUAGGGAUUUUUAGAGAGAGAAAAUGGAGAAAUCAGCGAUGAAGGCAUUUGAGAAGCUGGAGAAGGUCGAAGAGGGAACAAGGUGGUAUACAGAGCCAGGGAGAAGGUUACGGUGGCCUUGGAGAAGACAAGACUCCACGAGGAUGAUGAAGGAGUCCCUCCCACCACUCUCCGUGAGGUCUCUUUGUUGCGUAUGCUCUCUAGGGAUCCCGAUGUCGUUUGGUACCAUCAUUCAAAUCUCUCGUUUUCUUUACAGUUUGGCGAGUUUUUUUUUUUUUUU
This is a long non-coding RNA of Cornus florida, 4648 nucleotides long. RefSeq lists it as uncharacterized. The transcript is spliced from 4 exons. Lineage: Eukaryota; Viridiplantae; Streptophyta; Magnoliopsida; Cornales; Cornaceae. The record is from RefSeq and is a predicted model, not a curated record.